Molecule: unclassified non-coding RNA, 1082 nt
Filed under: Hevea brasiliensis (rubber tree)
Lineage: Eukaryota; Viridiplantae; Streptophyta; Magnoliopsida; Malpighiales; Euphorbiaceae
Source: RNAcentral
AAACAACAUAAUUUGACAAUUGAUGGAAAUGAUGGAUGAAUGCUCCAUUAACAAGAAUAUGGGCUUAAAUUUGAUUUCAGGCCUAAAGAAAGAAAAGGCCCAAUUUCUUUUGCAUGGAAAAAUGACAUAUCUUAGAUAAACCCAUCACCAAUUUGAUUGGUUCAGACAAAGCACCUAGGAUUACACCCAUUCUCCUACGUGGCAGUUGCAGCAUCGUCAACAGAAACCAGGCCAAAAUCCCUUCUUUGUUCUCUGUUUUGCUCUUCUCUCCUCCAUCAUCAAUGGCGGUCACAGUUCCAUCACCCUCAGCUGCUUAUCUUCGAGGAAUCCAACGCCACUUCUUCUCUUCCAAUCCCCUUCUCGCACCCCCAUUUCCCUCUAAACAGGCCCGCACGGUCGUUGCUAUGGCUCCCAAGAAGAAGGUGAACAAGUACGAUGAUGGUUGGAAGAAACAAUGGUAUGGUCCGGGAAUCUUCUACGAAAGCAGUGAAGAAUUGGAAUUCGAUGUGUUCAAGAAGCUGGAGAAGCGCAAAGUACUUAGCAACGUAGAAAAGGCAGGACUACUCUCCAAGGCGGAGGAGCUGGGAUUCACACUGUCGUCACUAGAGAAGUUAGGUGUGUUUUCCAAAGCUGAGGAGUUAGGCCUUUUGAGUCUGUUGGAGAAGACAGUCAGUGUCUCUCCGUCCACUCUGGCUUCCGCUACGCUUCCGAUACUGGUAGUGGCGCUAGCAGCGAUCGUCGUAAUACCGGAUGAUUCGGCGGGGCUGGUGGCGGUGCAAGUUGUAUUGGCAGGUGCGCUUGUUGUUGGCGCUGCUGGGUUGUUUGUUGGGUCUGUUGUGCUUGGUGGGCUGCAAGAAGCUGACUGAGCCUGAGUUUUUGCUUUUCUUGAUUUUGGGCAUUUUAAUUUUUUUUUUUAAUUUUAAAAUAAUGUGGACUGUGUGUGAUUAUAUUAAGGAAUGUAAAUGGCAGGUUAGGAGAUGAUAACUCUUUAUGAUAAUUGAUGUUAUGGAAUUGAUCAAAUGAUAUGUAAAUAAGGAGCAAUAUGUAUGAUAUUUGCAAAAGUUAUUUUACUUAAAUUUAAA